Molecule: ribosomal RNA, 430 nt
Filed under: Pseudomonadota bacterium
Lineage: Bacteria; Pseudomonadati; Pseudomonadota
Description: Proteobacteria bacterium partial 16S ribosomal RNA
Rfam family: Bacterial small subunit ribosomal RNA
Source: RNAcentral
UGGGGAAUAUUGGACAAUGGGGGGAACCCUGAUCCAGCCAUGCCGCGUGUGUGAAGAAGGCCUUAUGGUUGUAAAGCACUUUAAGCGAGGAGGAGGGUACUGGUAUUAAUACUACCAGCUACUGGACGUUACUCGCAGAAUAAGCACCGGCUAACUCUGUGCCAGCAGCCGCGGUAAUACAGAGGGUGCGAGCGUUAAUCGGAUUUACUGGGCGUAAAGCGUGCGUAGGCGGCUUUUUAAGUCGGAUGUGAAAUCCCCGAGCUUAACUUGGGAAUUGCAUUCGGUACUGGGAAGCUAGAGUAUGGGAGAGGAUGGUAGAAUUCCAGGUGUGGCGGUGAAAUGCGUAGAGAUCUGGAGGAAUACCGAUGGCGAAGGCAGCCAUCUGGCCUAAUACUGACGCUGAGGUACGAAAGCAUGGGGAGCAAACAGG